This 427-nucleotide long non-coding RNA is filed under the name Marmota monax (woodchuck). The record is from RNAcentral. Lineage: Eukaryota; Metazoa; Chordata; Mammalia; Rodentia; Sciuridae.
UCUUAAAAAGAGGAGAGAAAUUGAUUUUUUUCAGGAAAAACAAACUUUAAAAUAAAAAAGAGGAGAAUAAACCUUUUUCUCCCCUUUCCCCAUCCUCUCUCUAUCUAUCCCUCUUUCCCAGGAACAAAUCAAAAGAUGGAUUAUCUUGUGAAGAAUGUAAACUGUCAAUCCAGAAUGAUGUCUUUUUCUCAAUGCAGGGAGCUAUAGAUUCUCAAAUUACCUCCCUAAGAGUGGGAGGGGGCAUUGGAGCAACUGGAGAGGAGCCAGGGGAGCAGGGUAAUGACUUUUUUUUUCUUUAGUGAAGGAGGAAUACAGUCAAAUGUUUUGUAUUCAGAAUGUUGUGCCAUAUUUUGGAAUGGGACAUUGGUGUGUUAGAGAUUUAGUUUAAAAACAAGAUUGAUCAACUCUGUACGGUUUAUAUUGUUCC